UGAAUUUCCACCUUCAAGACGUUUCGCUGAGAGGGGUGUUGCUGAGGGUGUGUCGCAGAAAUAGUUUUCGCGAAAAAUGCCCCAUUUCUCCGCCUAGGGUGCCCGGAUAAUGCUCAAAUGAGCCCCAAAGUGUACUGAAGAACGUGCAAAAGUGAACUAGAGUGCGGAUUUCUGUGCUACCCAACGUCUUCCCGGUGAAAAAGUGAUCUCAAAAAAAAAUGGGGUUGAUGGAGCCCGUCGACACCACACACCACUACGAAGCUCCCCUAAUUGCAAAAUUGCUCCACAAGCUACCCCACUACAAUAUCACCUUCCAUCGCAUUGCUAAUACUACGUUCCGGCCAACGGAUGCCGUCUACUUGGAGAGUCUUGGAAUUCUGGGCUCUGUUCCGGCUGCUCUGUUGAUUGUAUCACUCUUUGGGCUCUUGCUCUACCUCAUGACGCGUUGCUGCGACCGGAAGCCACGUCCUGCCCACUCCAUAAAGAGCCUCAAGAUUACCCUUUCAAUCGUCACGGUGUUGUGUUGCGCAGCCAUCGGUCUGGGGCUCUACGGCAACGAUGAUUUGCACAAUGGGCUCCUGGAAGUCCUCACAGCGGGCAGGAAGGUGGAUAAUCUCGUAUCUUCCGUGAGGAAUCAGACUCAUAUCCUGGAGAAUACUUUGGCAAUGAAGAUUCGCCCGCAGCUUGUGGAAUUGGCGGAUAUUUUUGACCAGCCCGCUUCGAAUCAGACGGCUCUCUCGCAACUGAUUAUGGCUCUCAAUGUUGUUCAGGGAAAUGUGACUAUCGCCAUUAAUGCUGCUGGGGAUAUUCGUCGUCCCCUGAUGGGUAUUGUGAUGUCGGGAUUCCUCAAUAUGGGUGAUCAGUGGGAGUUAAUUCGCUGGCCAGGAACUGUGGCCAUUUUGGCGCUUCUUCUCGUACUCUGUGCUGUUCUCCUUGUUGGCGUGGCUCGGCACUCGCGAUGUGCUCUGAUUCUCUUCAGUGUGUGCGGAUUGCUGGCCGUGACGGGAUCCUGGCUCAUGUCAGGAUUGUAUCUGUCCAGUUCGGUAGCUGUUGGGGAUUUGUGCAUUGAUCCAGCUGAAUAUCUCGCCUCGGAAGCUCCGAGUGAGAUGCCAACGGAUGUCCUGCUGUACUACACUCAGUGUGAGAGUGUUCGCUCAAAUCCCUUCACGCAGCGUCUUCGGGAAUCUCAGAAUGCCAUCAAUAAUGCACGCACUUCCAUGUCCACGGUGUCCAAGGUUUCGCUUGUUCUCUUCAAAUCUGCUGGGCUACAGCCGAAGUUGGGUGCAGUGACGGCUGAUUUGAAUCUCAGCGAGCGGCUCCUGACCCAGCUCACUGCCCUCGUGGAUUGCAAAGCUAUCCACUAUAACUAUUUGACUGCAGCACGUGGACUCUGCGAGGGAGGACUCUUGGGAUUGGUACUCAUGCUUAUUGCCAGCUUCAUUGCGGCUAUCCUGCUUACUGUCAUGGUCUGGGUGGAUUCUCACACAUGGAUCUACAUACGAAAGAGAAAUGAUUAUUCCCAAGUGGAUGAACCGUCAUACAUCUCCCAUCAGCCACAGCAGAAUCAUCAAAAUAUGACCAGAACACUGCCCAGGAAUCACAAUGGACCACCGGCAAUUAGUGGAUCUCACACUCUCGCCCAUGCUGGGCGAAAGCAUCAUGAAAUGAUGGCACACCCACAUGUGCACCCGCAUCAUGGCACAAUGCGCCCCAUGGGAACACACACCCUGGGUCGUUUGCCAUCCCACAACCACAGCCCGGGCCACAUGCCCGGUCCCAACAAUGGGAAGUACGCCACACUCAGCAAGCAAUGCAAAACGCUAGAGGCGAACGACUUUUACUGAAAUUCAGCCGCCUGUGGCGACCCGCACGGCAACUCGUCCCACGCCCACCAUCAUCAACAUCACUAUUCGGAUGGGCAUCAGGUGCAAAUUCAGGCGCACCAUCAAAUGCAACAUCAACCACUCGCCGUGGGCUCUAUGGCGACAAUGAGACGCCCUGUGGCGCGUGAGGACGCCAUCCCGAGCUCCAAUGUUGUGGAUAGUGCAAUGUUUGAGCGUGAUAAGCAAAUCUACAAAUGCUCAACAAUGCGCCAAGGUGGGCGCUUUGAUCAGCGCGCCAUGAAGCCCGCCAUCCUCAAUUGCCCACUGCCGGAGAUUCCGCGCAAGGGUGACGAGCAGGUACUCUCGGCGGAAGAGCUGAAGGUAUCCACGGCACGCAAUCACCCACAACGAACACUGAAACUGCCACCAAAUGCCAAAGCUAUUCCACCACCAAAGAUUCUCUCACCGCUUCCGAGUGAAUUGGCUGGUGGGGCAGCUAAGGUGCCAGCGCUUCCGGCAGCUACGAAUGGUGAGAAAAUUGGUGCGGCUAAAUCCCCAAUUGUGGCACAUCCACCCGCCACAACGCCCACUUCCAUUAACCCCAAUGACGAGUCUAACUAUGCCGUGACUGAGUUGUAAAAAAAAGAUAUCGGGGUCGUUGCAGGCUUUCAUAAUUCACAUUCUCGAAAAAAAAAACCAAAAGAAACCAAAAAAUUAUGAAGACUUAAAAAAUAAAUAAAGAAAAAGACGCAAUAGACGAUACAAAGAAUGCCAAUAAAAAGAACCAAAGAUUAUAUACACAAAUUUCUGUGCGAAAAAAAACAAGAAGAAAUCACUCAAUUUUCUAGUAACAAUUUUUGAUCUCAAUCCUUUGUAAAGAAAAAAAGACGAAUAUUUGAAAGAUGAAAAAAAAAAGUAUUGUAAGGAAAUUAGAGUUUAUUGAGGGCUAAAAGGAGGAAAAUACUCAAAAAGCAAAUUGAAAAAAAAAAGUAAUUAAAUGUCUAAUGUAUAUUUAUAUUCGAGUACGUAAAUAGGGAGAAUAAUGUUGGCAAAAGGCGGCUGAAAACCCUCUUGCACAGCUGAGAGGACCCAUAUAACCCAAAAACUUAUUGAUAUUAUCAAUGUGAGAUGACACAAGAGAUUUAGAGAUGAAGGAUAUAGGUCGGAAAGGGAUUUUAUUCAUCUAUAGGGUGUCCCAAGAAUUAUGCAUAAUUUGCGAUUUAUUUAUUCUUGUCAAAAAAAAUUUUUAAAGAAUAUUUCGUUUCGUAAAUAACGUUUAAAAAUUGAUUUUUAGGAAUAUCUGAUUAGCACAUAAUUCUUGAUGCAAAUUUUUAAAGACUUGAUAGAUAAAUUAAAAGAAGAGUUCGUUAAGGCAACUUUCUCAUCUUAGAAAGUUCAUAGACUUCUUUAAAAAAUCAUUUAAUGUUUAAUUUUUUUAACAUCUGACAAGUUGAAUAAUUUUUAAAAAUUCUCUUUAAUUUUUUUUUUAAACAUGAAAGUGUAUUUUAACUUCUAAAGCAAUUCCUGAACCGUUUCAACUUUAAGGGUAUUUAGACACCUAAACUCGCCUAGGCUGCCACUCGGACAUAUUGAAAACCAAUAAAAAGUUAGCACGUUGCUAUCUGCAAUCGUUUAGCCUUAGAGGCGAAUACAAAAUGAACUAAAAAUUAGCAAAAACUAAGAAAGACUUCAGAAAGCUUCUGAAACGUUACGUUUUUUGUGUUUCGGGAGUCUCUAAAUCUUUCUUUUCUAUUUUCUGAUAUUCUAGAAAAAUAUCGUAGAAUUGUCAAAGUUUAUUCCUUUAGUUGUGUUUUAACUGAUGAAUAAGCAUAGUAAAAAUCUUUAAAGACUAUUCUUAAAGAUUUCUGAGACAGCAAAUUGUUUAAAGAAUAAUUUAACCCUUUCGCAUCCGCAUGAAACAUUGAAACAUGCGAUCAUUUUAUCGCGAUUUUAUUCUGUAAAGUGCUUUCAAAGACCAUUUCGGUUUCAAAACGUCUUCUUUGGCAUUUUCUUCGUAAUCUUGGAAAAAUAAUUAAAUUCUUUUAAAUUAAAAAAAAGCGCGAAAGGGUUAAAAGCUGUCAAAAUCUUCCAAACUUUGAUUCAAUUUCUAAGAGAAAAAAGAAAGAUUUUUGACAGAAUCGAUCCCAUAUAAUUCUCAAUUCUUUGAGUGAGAUAAUAUAGAAAUAUUUAUAGACUGAAAAUGCAUCUAUAACUAUCCUAAACUAAUGGAAUUUGUAGAAAAGUUGCAAGAAAUUGUCUUCCUAAUAAUUACAAAGUCCUUUAGUUCUUUAUAAGAAAACUUUGUAAAUUUUUUUUGUAGAAUUUUCAAAAUGAAAUUUUUGUAAAAUUUCAAUAUUUUUCAUGUGAAAGUUUCGUUGCGAAUUACGAAGAUUUCAAGUAACGACGAUAUUGGGACACCCUGUAAUUUUGAUGAAUCCGUUGAAUCCUCAAUGUUGAUGAAAAAGAAAUUCUCAUUAAUAAUCAAAUGAAUAAUCAUUAAGUAAAAAAAAAUGAAAGAAAAAAAACUAAUAAUUAGGGAGAAGAAAUUUAAAAAAAAGAAGAGAACUUUUUAAAGAAAGAAAAGGAUUAUAUAAUGAAAUGAAUAAGACUCGCUCAUUUUUUCUACAUUUUACAAAACACACUCCACUUUUUUAUUGAAUCUCCUUUCUCUCCUGGUUUUUUUUUUCUAAACAAAAAUUUAUGUGUUUUCCUACGAAUAAAUAUACUGAAACAAUUUUUGUAAAAUAUUAUACUUGAAUACUUUUUCACUGGUUCUUUUGUAAUGCCACAACAAGAAAAAUUAAAAUAAAUAAAUAAAAUGAUAAAAAAGAAUCUAUUUGUAAGUUAGGAAGAAGAUGAAAAAAAUACUCAUAGUUCAUAUUUAAAAGAAUGAAGAAAAAAACUAAUCAGGAGAAGCAAAAUAGCGUUGAUAGAAUUGCAAUAGAAAGGUUUUCUAGAAGUUUAUUAAUAAAAAAAAAAAGAAUUAAGAAGAGAGGAAAGAAAGAGAAAUGGAGGAGUGAGAGAAAAAUAGUGCAAUAAAAUUUGUUUGAAAGUUUAUUUUUAAAAUUUAUAAUCUAAUAUAUCAUCUCAUCUAAAAAAAAACUAAAAUAAUAUUUUUCUUUUAAUUUAAACAACUCAUCACAUUAUUGUGCAAUAAAUUCACCUGUUUGGGAUGCUUUUCUGGGGACUACGAGUCUCACAGUGAGACAAAUUUAUUUAUUUUUUUGUUUUUCUAAUAAUAUUUUAAAGAAUUAAAUAAUUAUUAAUAGAGAAUAGAAGAAACUCAACAAAAUUAUCUUUUUUUCUCCGUUAUGGAGAAAAUAAUUUAAAGAAAAAAAAACAUUUAAAGCAUAGUAAAAAAAAGGAAAACUGGAAAAAUUAGAAAUGCUGAAGAGAGAGAGAGAAAGAGAGUAAAAUAAAGUGAUAAGAAUAAA
RNA transcript from Lutzomyia longipalpis, 5257 nucleotides. It is a transcript of the gene named protein tweety, with no coding region annotated. The record is from RefSeq and is a predicted model, not a curated record. The transcript is spliced from 7 exons. NCBI's taxonomy places the organism in Eukaryota, Metazoa, Arthropoda, Insecta, Diptera, Psychodidae.